AGUCACUGACAUUAGAUACCCCCGUAGUCCAGGGUGUAAACGCUGCAGACUUGGUGUUGGAGGCCCUUUGGGGGCAUUCAGUGCCGGAGAGAAGUUGUUAAGUCUGCUACUUGGGAAGUACGGUCGCAAGGCUGAAACUUAAAGGAAUUGGCGGGGAGCACCACAACGGGUGGAGCCUGCGGUUUAAUUGGACUCAACGCCGGAAAUCUCACCGGAUAGGACAGACAUAUGAUAGUCGGGCUGAAGACUCUACUUGAUGAUCUG
Molecule: ribosomal RNA, 264 nt
Filed under: uncultured archaeon
Lineage: Archaea
Description: partial 16S ribosomal RNA
Rfam family: Archaeal small subunit ribosomal RNA
Source: RNAcentral